AUGCUUUUAUUUUUUUCAUUUUUAACUAUGAAGUUGUUAUUAUCUGUUUUGUCUCUCCCCCGUUUUUCUGUAAGUCUCAGGUCUUCUGCUUGUUUGCUUUUGCACACACUGAAACCUGUGCUCUGAAGCUGUCAGAAAACAUCCAUGGGAUGUGCCCUUCCCUCUCAGCUGUGCAGGGAUGCUGCAACCCCACAACAACAUGGAGAUGGAGAGGCUUCAGAUGGACAGGUGGGAGCCAGUGAUGGAUGCUCAUCAAAGACACUGAAGAUUUUAAUCAGGGUCCUUUUCCCUGACUGACAGCUAGAACAGCACUUCUGUGACAUUUGGGGAGGAAGAUUUCAGUGCCUCUCCUGUGGAGCCUUCCCAAACAUCAUGACACUGCCCAAAGCAACAGGUAAGAGCAAUUGCCCAGCAGAGAUCUCAGGGGUGUUGGGGGUUCCAGCCCUGCAGGCACCAGUGGUUCAUGUCCCUCAGUGCCUCCACAGGUCACAGUGACUCACCUGUGAAGCCAUCAUAGAAUAAAAUCAUUUUGGUUGGAAAAGAACUCAAAGAUCAUCAAGUCCAAGCAUUAACCCAGCACUGUCAUGGCAAGGUAUGGCCCCCUCAGCUAAGUGCUCCCCACCUUUUCCUUUUGCAGCACAGCUGAUGCCUUGUGAAAGCUGACCAAGAACAGAGACUAGACAGAAUUAAAGAAUAAAGCAGGGAUUUAUUAAAAGGCCUCAAUGGAUCCACCUCGGGGAGCCCAGCCAGGGCUGCACCCAAGAUGAACCAAAAUGGUCCCAAAAUGGACACCUGGUCAUGGGGUCUCUCACUUUUAUAAGUUCUGGGCCGUUUGCAUCUUGGAGUUAAUUGUCCAAUUACAGCUUUAGGUUAUGAACCAAGAAAACCUUCUUGUCUUUCUCUCUUCAGUCCAUGUUGUUUAUGCUCUUGGGUCUGAGAUUUGGAUCAGUUGUCCUUGGUCCCAGCUAGAGAAGGAAUUGUUUUAUCUGCCUGCUCUGUGCACAGAGCUCACCAUCCCCUCAUAUGAAGCCCAGACCCACACACUAAAGCAGCACAGAAUCUGAAAAAUGUAAAAGCUAAACCCUGAGGCCUCACAGCCACAAGGCUGGAGCAUGGGUGGGACAACCCUCCAGUGAGCAUUUGCUGUCUCUUGUACCUUCUCUGGGUGUUCUGAGGGGAGAGCUGCCCUGAUCCUGCCCGGGCUGUGCUGUGCUGGCCUUCAGCAAAGGGCAGGGAUGAGCUCUGACUGUGCAGCACACCAGGGGCAGGACUUGUGGAUGUUCUUUAACCUCGGAGGGUAAAUGAACAUGGUUCCCUGUUGGUCUGCAGGCAGUUGUCAUGUUUGUUUAGAGAAGAGGAGGGACUGUGUGUUGGGCCUGAGCCUCAGCCUGGGUGGUAUCACAGCAUGGGGACACAAGGCCAGGCAGGGCCUCUUAUGAGAAGAGAGCAGAAACCCUGGCUUUUUCCUCCUAGCAGCCAAAGAUGGGUGAAAAAAGCUCUCUAUCAGGAGAUAAGGGGAGAGAGAGGAGCUAUUUAGGCUAGAGGAAAGCACUGACAUACAGAAAGGGUGGGAAUAAAGUAGGAAUUAGAAGCAGGCUUCCAAGAAGUAGGGUAUUCCAGCCUGGGACUGCAUUUCCUGGUGAGGCAGCAGUAACAGGAACUGAAAUUGUUAUUGAGGGCUCAGCUCUUGCAUUCACACAGGGAUUUAUCCCACAGGCACAGCAGGAGGGCCCAGGUCAGUCAUUUGUCCUCGUCCUGUGGUUUGGCAGAGCUCAGGCACCAAGCCAGCCAUCUGCACAGCAGCACCACCCCAGAGACACCUCCCAGAGUGUGGGAGGAACAAACAUCCCAAAGAGAGAACACUAUUUUUGGGCUAUGGCCCUUCCAAGUCCCAGCAAAGCCACGAAAAAUGCUCCAGUUUUGGAGGAAGGCAGGAGGGGCCGUGCCAAGUCAGUGCAACUCCCACACGCAGGACAGCAUGAAGUCAAGGCAUGGCAAAGGCUGAAUGUUCCCAGCCCUGGGCCAGCCCCAAGUUCUGUGAAGCAAUAUUUCAUUUGCAUUCUCAGAAGCAUCCAGAAUCAACCAGCUUGGCUAGCCCAAGCCUGGCUGCAUGCAGUCACAGAAGUGUGGUUUGUUUUAUACAACAGCAUUUCCAUGGACAUUCGGUGUUGCUGGAGUCUGCUCAGGAGAGCAGCAGCAUUGAGGUAAUGUCCUUUUGGGCUGCCUUCAGCUGCUGUGGUUGAGCAGACACUGCUGAGAAACUUUCAGGGCUGAGCCUGCUUUGUGCCUGCACUGCCUGGCUUUUUAAAAACACUUUUCUUUGUUGCUGUAGCCAGGAACUCCAUGCUUUUUCUUUAGUUAAGUAAAUUGUGCUGUUGGCCUUUUAAGCUCACUGUUAAAAGUGAACUUUGCUGAACCUGGCAGGCAUCAAGGUUAUUGCUUUCUCAGCAUGAGUGUUUCUAAACAAAUUGGCAUCAUGGCCACAAAGUUCUGGGCAGCAACCAGCCAAGAUCAGUUUGAGAAUCCCAAAGGUUGGGACAUAUUUCCAUUUCAACAGGUAAGAGCUGGAACACCAUCAGAUCAAAGGCAAGGACUAUUCUCUUCUGGGCUUCAUGGAUCAGUUGGGACCUCUUGAUGGCACAAUGACUCUCAGCUCCCUGGGCAGCCCUGGCUCUGCAGUCAGACCCUGUGGGGGUACAAAGGAUGUUUGGGUACCUAGAGACAGGAUGGGAUCAUGUGUCUGCUGUCUUUGUUUCCUUCUCCUGUGUAAAUUUUCUGUAACCAUGUCAUGUUACACUCACCUGCAUGUUAGACCACUGCCUGGUUGCAUUUGUUAACGUUCAGAGCAGCUUCACACCUGUGUGUGCUGUGCAGUUUGUGUCUCCUGCAGGAGCUGCUCUGAGUGGUUCAACACACUGUUGGCAUCUGCUUGCUGUCACCUGUGUGCCAUGGCCAUGCAAGGAGGGUGCUUGGGGUGGGUGACAUGGCCAAGAGCAGCCUUGGAGGGAGGCUCCAACCCCUUGGAAUAUCAGGCUCUGUGUGUCUGUUUCCUAUGCAUGUUUUCUCCAUUUCUGCAUCAAUUUCAGUGAAGAGUGUUCUGCCACCCUUUGUUUGUUUUUAAAUCACAAUGAUAUCUAGAUAACAUUAAAGGAAGGUGUUCUCUGCUUUGUAAAAAAACCCCUUGAUAUUAGGUACUUUUUUUUUCCCAAAUGAAAAUAAUUCCUGGGAGUCGCUGGUGCUUUGGUGAGGUGAGACCUCCAAGCACACCAAAGGUGUGACAUGCCUUUGUCACCUCCAUUCACAGCUUCCCAGGCAAGGAAACAAAACCCAUCGUUUGUGGAUGAUCGCUGAUGGCCGUGGCUCAAACCCCCUCACUGCAGCUGCAGGAAACUUUCACACCUUCCAUCAAAGGCAAGGCAGAGCAACCUCAUCUGGCAUCUCAGAGACGUCAGAGGUGCUGUGCAGGCUGUCCUUGCUGUCCCAGAGGAGUGCAGGCACCACUGGGGACCAAAGCAGCACUGCCACCAUGCUCAUCCAUCCUCCCAGCCUAAGGAAGCACCCACACUCAGCUCUCCCUGGGCUGAGACCCACUUAAACACUGAGAUUGUUUCCUGGGCAGACCCAUCAAGAAAGGAAAUAUCAAAGCCAUGUUUAAUAUUUUUAAAUAAUUUCCUUUUUUUUUUUUUUUGGUAAUUUGUCUGAUGGUGUGAGACUUGCUGAAAUGACAUUUUAUUUCCUGGAUGUGGCAGUCCCCUGUUGUGUCUGGAUGCAGAUCCACACAGGAGGCAAGCAGCCCAGGAUGGCAGGGACAUGAAUCCUCAAUUUGGGGCUAAGCCUUGUGGUGUGUCAUUUUUCAGCUGGUUGUUUUAUCUCUCUGUGCUCUGGGAAGGGUAUCUUGACACAGACAGUUUGCAGAGCCAUUUCAGCUGUUCAGACAGCUCAGCCACAAUAUGUUGCCUCAAAUUGUUCUGUCAAGCACAUGCAUCAGCUGUAUUUGCUUGCCUUGAAGCUGUGAAAACCAGAGACCCUCCUGAGAAAAUUUAGCUUCUACAUAGAAAUAAAGAGGGUGACAAUGCUCUCAAAUGUACAGAUGCCACACAAGGCAGUGAGCUGCAAACCUGCCAUGGCCUGUGAAGCUCUUUAGAUUUCAGAUUAAAUCAUUAGCUGCUGCAGUCCCAAAGCCUUGGCAUGGAGAAAGCUGCAGCCAGAAGGGCUGUGUUGUCCUUCCAAGACGCCUGCAGUGGCUCAGAGAUGGGUGCUGGAGACCAGUUUGGGCUGACGGGACCUUUCUGUGGGUGCUCAGUGGCAUGAGCGUGGGGGAGGGCAGUGGCAGGGGCUGGUUUUGGCUGGCACAUGCCCUGGGGAACCCAGAUCUGCUCAGAGGAGCAGCACUGGGCCAUGGGCAGGAUGCCACGCGGCACAAGGUGAGGUUACCGCUCGGUCACACCAGAGCUGAAUGAUGGAGCAGAGCUGUGGCACGUCUCUGCUUCUCAGGACAGAAAGAACAAGACUCCUUUUCCUUAUGGUGACAGAGACAUUAUCCCUUCUGUUUCAUUUUCAUGCACUAAAUUCCAAAUUCUGGCGGCACAAUGCUGCACCUGCUUUCCAUGUCCUCUGCAUCCAAGCACAGAUGCUGACACCCAGUGGCCAUGGGAUUUCUAGCACCUGUACGAGAUGGAAAAUUUCAACAGAGAUGCCUCAGCUGGUGAGAUCCAACAUCCUCCUUUUCAUUUCCUCGAGUGCAGGAGGAGUAAGGAGUUCCUGAGACAUUGCAGAAUGGGAGGGAACAUUGCAAGACUGGGAGGGAACACUGGAGCUCAUCUUGUUCAAACCCCUCUCAAGCAGGGUCCCCAAGUGCUCUUUAGUCAGGAUUGUGUCCAGACAGCUUUUGAAUAUCUCCAGAGAAGACUCCACAAGCUCUCAGGGCAGCCUGUUCCAGUGCUCUGUUCCACUCACAGUAAAGAAGUUCCUCCUCAUGUUCAGGUGUCAGUUCCUGUGUUCCUAUGUCAGCCUUGCUUUGUGUCAAGUUACAGGGUUUGAAACACUUGUACUGAGAGGCCACUCAGAAAAAUUAAAAAAAUAUGAGGAUAGAUAUGAGAAAACAGAAUUUUAACUGAUUUUCAAACUAUUCUCUUGCUGGCAGCUUGAAAAUAUACCUCAGUGAGAGAAGAAGGGUGAGUUUUGAGUUCAAAGACCUUGGUAUUCCUCUUCCCUGUUUUGCUAGUUCCCCAAAGCAGCUAGAAUAUGACAGACUAAAAGGAUUUUGCAUUUCCCUGCAGCAUGCACAGGAUCGUGCUUUUGUAUGUGUGACAAGUAUUGACAUUCUCUAGGGAGAAAAAAGCUGUGUAGGAAAAGCUGGGUUUAUUCUUCAACAAAUGGCUCUAAGACUUUAUCAGUCAAAGACAGAAAGAAGACUCUAAACUCAUGGGUAUGCAAAGACAAAGACGUGUCUCACCAAACAUGUGGAGCUUAGUUGGUAACAAUAUGUGGAACCCAGACAUGAGCUGGGAACAAUAAGUGCAGAGCAUGCCAAAGGAGGGAUUUUAAAUUGCUUUACUAAAAAUAUUAAUUAUGAACUACAGCAAAUGAAUUAAAACACUCUCAUGAGACAACUAUGUGAAAGAAAUACUUUGGUGUAAUUCUAUAAGCACAGGAUAAAAAAAAACACUGCUGAAAUUCUAGUGAGGUUCAGGAUGUUAGGAAGGCAAGUGCCAUCUAUUAGGGCUGGAUUUUUGCUAAUGCUGCAGAUGUCACUCCAUGAGAAGGCAGGAGGGAGGUGUUUGCUGCUGCUGCUGCUGCUGCUGCUGCUGCAGUUGCAGUGAGGACCCUCUGCAGGGAUGAGUCUGGGGAGCAGGGAGCCCUGCACUGGGGCCAAGCCCAGUUUUCCUCACCUAAAUGCUCCUGUGAAGCUGCAGCAUACAGAUACCAUAAGUAGAUGUACUUAAUUUAUCACUCUGUUACUAGGCAGGUUUCUAGGCAGGCUUCAGCCUAACUUUUAUAUUCUGUGGUUACUGAAAUAGCUCUGAUCUUUUUUGGGGUGAGAUCUAGCUGUGGAGGUACAACAGCCUUUCCUUUGCUCUCUCUUACUUGCACCCAUACACUUUAAUUCUUCUUCCCUUCUUUAUUUUGGGUAAAACUGGGCUAGAGGCUUUAGCCCAAUGGGUUUAAACCCAUCCAGCAGGUUGGGGCUGCUGCAGUAUUUGCCCCAAUCCAAAUGCCUUGCUCAGCAUUCCCACCUGGUAAAGUAGGUGAGAUUGCACCAGAUGUACCCAGGACAACAGGCUGGGCUUGGCUGCCUGCCCUACUUUUUCCCUUGGGGACAUUCACAAUGCACUCACGUGGUUUUAGUAGAUAUUUUAACAGUUUAAGAGUCUUGCAGAACAUCAGAGGCCUGAUGGCAGUUCUGAAAUCCACACCCAGUGCAUGCUCACAGUUGUUUUUCAAAGUAAAGCUGUCCUAUGGUGGCUGCCCAGGAGACAGGAGAGGCAGAAGUUGUGUCUCAGCAGAAUUAUAGCAACCACGAAACUUCAUUUCUGCUUCAGCCCCUGCAUUGACCUUUUUUUUUCCCUGGUUCUUUCCUCCUUAGGUUGCUCCCCAGAUUACACUGGGCUGUUGCCCAUUUAGCAGUGGAAGCAGCUGAUAGUGAUUGAAUAAUUUUGCAGUUGGAUGUGUAAGACAUCCAACUGCUUGCAUCCAACAACACUUGCUGUGAUGUUUUGUUUCUGAUUGGAUUAGUAUGGCUCUUUACAUAACUGAUUGACACAAACUUGAUUUUCUCUCUGAGCUUCCACUGUUCAUUAGGAAUUCCCACUUUGAAUAAAUGCUCCUUCAAGAAAAUAUAUUUUCAGGGUUGUUCUGAUGAAAUAAAACCACACUAAACCCCAGUGUUUGCCUUGGCUAGUUCUUCAAGCAAAAAAAUCCUAGAAUGGGCUUGGAAAAGAGUAUCUCAUCCAGUGAUGCUUUUUAAAUCAUUUUUUUCUAUCAUCAUCAUUUGGAAUGAUUCCUAAAAAAUCGAUCAGCAAUUUUGUCACCUGACUACAUGGUGUUGAGAAACAUCAGGUAUGAUUCAUUGAAUUCUGGUGCCAAUGUCCAGUUCCUAGAGAAAUUUCCAUGUCACAUUUGCUGGUGUGACCCUCACUUCUCCUCUGAAUCAUCUGUCCUUUGCAGUAGCUCUGGUGAUGCCUCUUUAGAGGAAAAGUUUCCCUCAAGGCCUCUGCAGCUGAGCUUUUCAACAAAUAAGGCGUAUCAGCUGAUGCAAUGGAUAGCUCAGGUAGCUCCUGUUCAGCAUUUAGAUGCUCUCAGCAGGCUGAGUGGGAAAAGGGAACAUCUGGUGAGAGCAAGGUGGGCACAGGGGCUGGAUGCAGGUGUUUGCACAGGUGUAGCAAGGUGUGUAUGGUGUGUGAGCUGCUGCCCUUCAGUGUGUGUGUCCUGCUAACAGAUUUCUGAAGUUCUCAUGAAAGAAAAAACCCAAACAAGCCCACAGAAGAACACAUUAUCUUUAUUCAGUUUCCACUGCCUCUUUUUCUCCUUUGUUCUGUUAUCAGAAACACCUUGCUUCAGAGGCAGUUUAGAUCUCUUCCUGCAGCCAGUUUAAGCCCCUCCAGUUUUCCUGGGCCCGUUAAGGACUGGGAUUGCAACAGCUGCCUCCACAAGUGGCAGCAGGCAGGGAAGACCCAUGUGGGCUGCAGAAAGCUCAGGGCUCCUGGGCUGUCCUUGGGAUGGUUCCAUGAGCAGCCCACCAAACACGAGCAGUGCAGCAGGCACAGGCAGUUAGAAUCCCACAGAUGUGUGCAGUGGCUUUCCUGCUGGGGAUCUGAAAGGGACAAAGGCUGUCAUUCCCAACAUGAGAGAGCCGAGGACAUGCUCCAGCAUCCCUGUCACACAUCCCAGUGGCAAUGCAGGAAGCAUUUGCUUUCCACAGAUUUCUCACUAGCAUCUACAGUUUGUUCAAAUUUCACAAACCAAAACCCUUUGAAGGCAGAUGCACAGCAAAGAUGAAGGGGUGUGAGUUUGGGACUGCAAACAGGUGUCAGUUCAUCUCUGGGGACCACAGAAGGGUCUUUCUAGAGCCAGUUCUCCCUCAUGAGUGAUGCCAUAGAAGGCUUUUGGGAAAAGCUUCCUUCUUGCUUAUGCUACAUAGCCAUCAGGAAAAGAAAAUAGUCAUCAGUACUGGGGCAUCAGUUCUCUCAGACCUGAAGAAAUGAUCAUGAGUAAAACCAGACAAAUUCAUCCACUCUGCUUUCCCCUCGUGCCAUCACUGACAUGAAUGUAAACAGCUGGGACGAGAGUGCCAAAAGAAUGAGGCUUUAGCCCAUUAAAAUGGCACUGCUAUAACACAGCUAGGACAAAUCUCUGCUCUUGAGUGGUUUGGGGCAUGGUAAUAGCUUUAUUUAUGCUGCUGUGGAUGCAAGCAACUGCUGCAUUUAACAGAAGCAGUCUGAGCUCUUAUGAGCAGUAUUUGAGUCUCUGCAGUGAGUUUAUGGGUUGCUGCAGGGGCAUUUCAUAUCAGAAACAGGCACACUCAGGAGGGUUGUUUACUGAAAAUGAACUCUUAUUUGCUGUCCAAUCUUAGAGCAUCUAUUAAUGUUUGGCCCUUAGACAUUUAAUGUGAUGUUUCAGUUACAACUGUACUUAUAAAUAGUUACAGACACCAACAAAAAAGCACAUUGCUUGGACAGGCAACCUUGGUGCUUACCUUUUCUUGCACUGGCCAAUCAACAUAAAUAUUAUGAGGCUAACGGACAAACUCAGGAUGACUGGGAUGAGAAUAAAUAGCUGCUUGUCCUCUUUUCUGGGCAC
Haemorhous mexicanus (house finch) is the source of this 8799-nucleotide long non-coding RNA. RefSeq lists it as uncharacterized. NCBI's taxonomy places the organism in Eukaryota, Metazoa, Chordata, Aves, Passeriformes, Fringillidae. The record is from RefSeq and is a predicted model, not a curated record. The transcript has 2 exons.